This is a long non-coding RNA of Ctenopharyngodon idella (grass carp), 9830 nucleotides long. RefSeq lists it as uncharacterized. Lineage: Eukaryota; Metazoa; Chordata; Actinopteri; Cypriniformes; Xenocyprididae. The transcript has 3 exons. The record is from RefSeq and is a predicted model, not a curated record.
UUUAAAAGAUUACGUCUUAAUUAAAUUAUUUAAGAAUAUGGUUCUGAGAGAUUUAUUCCAAUAGUUAUAUGAUAGAAAAAUCAUUCAUUUAAAUUAUAUAAUUAUUCAUAAUUAUUAUUAAUUUGAAUUCAAUAUUAAAUAUGUUUUAAAUAGUAUAUUCCGUCUUAUAUUUACCCUCAUACAUUGGUGUUUCUUACCACAAAGCACAAUGUUUUGCAGCCACACUAUUCCUGUCACAGAUUAAAUGAAGGUUCAGAUCUCCUCAGUGAUGUGUGGCUCAGCACAGAAUACAACCUGUCUUCACCUGUGAAGAGCAUUUUCGUUUUAAGUCCCAGCUACUACCAUACACAUAGCCCUACAUGUCAUGUUUAAUGCAUGUAGCACAGAGCUCGGCUCUAGACAUCUUUUCUGCUCUCACUGAAUUACAUUGCUAAGCCUUUUGUUCCUCGGCCGAGGAACACAUUACAGAAAUCAAGGAAGCGAACACAUUUCUGUAAAAGCACAUAAAUCUGAUGAGAUUGCUUGAAGCAGGGUCUGAAUUUCUACAGUUAGAACAUCUGGCACCUGUCUUGACUGAAGAGGUCCCUCUGCCCCCUCUGUUCUGGACAAUCAUUGUUCUCUGCAUCUGCUGGCCACUGGAGAUGUUGCCCUGGAAACGGUGUUCACAGGAUGGUCGGGGACAGCCGGGAAGAAGCAGCCAGAGAAGACGAGACGAGUUGGACCUCCGUGGCGACUCGGACAGAUCUCCAUUCUAUGGGGACACCUGCUGGGAGUCUUGGCUUAGAGGAAGUGGAGCGGAGCUGAGAGACAGCCGUAAAGGUUGGCACGGAGAGGCAGGCAGGCAGGUGCGGGAUCCGGCAGGCUGGAUGCUGUCCUCCCCCCUCCCCUCCUUUUCCUCCCCCAUUAAAACGGCCAAGAGCACCUGACAGGUGGGAAGAGGGGAGGAAGCCGUGGCUUUGGAACAGGGACAGGGCUCACACUGCUGUCCAAACAGGAGACUUGCUGGGUAGAGUGAUCUGAGAGGAUUUGUAGCAGAAGGGGGCUGGUGGACAGAGGGAGCUGACGGUCUGUUUGCGUCCAUGUGCACAUGUUUGUGUGUGGCGCAGCACUAGUCCAGUCAAACCAGAUAACAAGCGUCCAUCUCUCCAUGCUGUGCUCAGAUAUGGGCGCAAGGACAUGUUUUGAUUACUGCUAUCUGCUUGGGCAGCUGUAAGUUGUGCUCUGGAAGUGCUUUUGGCAUCCAAACACUAAAUUACAGACUUAAAGUGUAAAGUGGAGCAAGGUGACCUGAGGUGAAGAUAUCUUUCAGACAAAAAGAAACAUCAAGUAAUUUUCUUAAAUGACAGGGUGUCUUAAAAAGCAUUUUCUAAUCUGUCCUGUGUGAGAGACUGAGAGGUCUCACUCUCUGUGACACUGAAAUCAAGUGUUUGUUCUGCGUGGAUGACCUGGUUCUGCCUCUCACAGAAGGAUGGCAGACCCCGCUAGAGCAGUAGAGUGGACAUCGACUAUCAAUCUGGACAAAACCUGUCCAGCACUCCAAAAGAGAGCCAGUUCUUGAAGCAACAGAUGCUAGUUCUACAAUCAUUUGGAGGACAAAUAGUACAACACAUAACCUCUUAACGAUAACAAACACGAUUACUAACAACCCUUAACACAUACAAAAAGAAUGAUAGACUUCAACUAAACAAUCAUUUGAAAAUAUUCAUGUAAACAUGCACGUCAUGCAGGUAAUGAAUGAGAACAACCCCUAAACCAUAAAACAACAGGGCUCUCAUCAACGAUAACUUAAAAAAGGGUGAAAUAACAUUAUAUAACAUACACUCACCGGCCACUUUAUUAGGUACACCUUGCUAGUACCGGGUUGGACUCCCUUUUGCCUUAAUUCUUUAUGAAUUGAUUCAACAAGGUGCUGGAAACAUUCCUCAGAGAUGUUGGUCCAUAUUGACAUGAUAGCAUGUUGCUGCAGAUUUGUCGGCUUCACAUCCAUGAUGCAAAUCUCCCAUUCCACCACGUCCCAAAGGUGAUCUAUUGGAUUGAGAUCUGGUGACUGUGGAGGCCAUUUGGGUGUAGUGAACUCAUGUUCAAGAAACCAGUUUGAGAUGAUUUGAGCUUUGUGACAUGGCGUUAUCCUGCUAGAAGUAGCCAUCAGAAGAUGGGUACACGGUAGUCAUAAAGGGAUGGACAUGGUCAGUAACAAUACUCAGGUAGGUUGUGGCAUUUAAAUUAUGCUCAAUUGGUACUAAGGGGCCCAAAGUGUGCCAAACAAUAUCCCCCACACCAGAACACCACCACCACCAGUCUGAACCAUUGAUACAAGGCAGAAUGGAUCCAUGCUUUCAUGUUGUUUACGCCAAAUUCUGACCCUGCCAUCUGAAUGUUGCAGCAGAAAUUGAGACUCAUGAGACCAGGCAGUGUUUUUACAAUCUGUCAUUGUCCAACGUUGGUGAGCCCAUGUGAAUUGUAGCCUCAGAUUCCUGUUCUUAGCUGACAGGAGUGGCACUUGGUGUGGUCUUCUGCUGCUGUAGCCCAUCUGCUUCAAGGUUCAAUGUGUUGUGUGUUCAGAGAUGCUCUUCUGCUUGUAACGAGUGGUUAUUUGAGUUAGUGUUGCCUUUCUAUCAGCUCAAACCAGUCUGGCCAUUCUCCUCUGACCUCAAGCAUCAACAAGGCAUUUUCGCCCACAGAACUGCCACUCACUGGAUAUUUUCUCUUUUUCAGACCAUUCUCUGUAAACACUAGAGAUGUUUGUGCACGAAAAUCACAGUAUCAGCAGUUUCUGAAAUAAUCAGACCAGCCCGUCUGGCACCAACAACCAUGCCAUGUUCAAAGUCACUUAAAUCACCUUUUUUUCCCAUUCUGAUGCUUAGUCUGAACUUCAGCAGAUCGUUCAGCAGUUGCUGCCAAGUUAUUGGCUGAUUAGAUAUUUGCAUUAAUGAGCAGUUGAACAGGUGUAUCAAAUAAAGUGGCCAGUGAGUGUAUAUAGCCUAUCAAUAACAAGCACAAUAAUGGAUAAAAAUGUGUUCCCUCAAUAGCAGAAACUAUUGCAAAUUAAAACACUAAAAUACAAACUAAAAACAAGAAUUAACAAUAAGCUACAAGUUGUAGUGACUCAUGGGAUAAUCAACUGCCCCCAUGUCUAUAUACCACUAAAAUACUUGAUAAAAUUGUUUUAUUUGAUCCUAAAAGGAAAAUCAAACCAGCCAACAGAAUCAAACCAGUGUCAAUCUGAUGUCAAAAUCAAUUGUUAAAAAUGGGAGAAAAUAUUAGCUGGAAUUUCGAAACAUGCUCCUACAUUUUGAGGGCACAUUGAAGUGGUUCAAAUAAUCUCAGCAGGGCAGAAGUGGGACUCAACCCUCAGCAAAUGGAAAAAUGAAAAAGACCUUUAUAAUUAUCAGCAUCACCUCAAUCAAAAUCAUCCGCAUUUUAAUAAAUAUAUAAAGCCCUCAUUUGUCAAUCAAAUCUCUACAGUCACAUUCCCUAAACACACAAGUGGUUCACAAAAUGACAAACAUCCCUCAAAUUGACCUCAAUUGCAGGAGUUAUUAAUAAAACUUAAAACUUAAAACCUAAUAAAACUAUAACUUAAAAAAAAAAUCCAAACAUAAUAUAUAUUUUUAAAGAAUGAAAUCUCAAAUAAAUCACACUUACAUUAUCUGACCAUAAUGAGAUUCAUCUAUAUUGCACUGCUCUCGAUAAUUCUGAUUGGAUUGGUCAAAUAGUUUUAGAUAAAUACACUAACCUGUGUUUGUGACAGCUGUUCCUGGCACACAAUUUCCAAUACUGUAGUUUCAUGUUUUGUGUCUCUUUUUCCUAAUAUAGUACAAUAAUUUUAACUCAAAUUCAAAUCUCAGAAGUCCUUACAAAACACGGUGACAACAAGUUGCUGUAGUUAAACUCCUAAAUUGCUCUGUUGCUCGUACAAAUCUGUAUAUAAAUAACAUGGUAAUUAGCUGCACUGAUCUUUGAACUUUGAGAGAGGGACAAUGACACAAUGUGAGAGACCUCUGAUCCAUGUCUGGGCUAGAUUGUGCCUUUUUACUGGUACAUGCUGUGGGCCAGUAGGUUAUACAUCAAUAGGACUGCUGAUAGGACCAAUUAUGGUGCAUGAGAAAGUCUGCUGUGUGUAGGUGUGUGUGAGCGAGCAUCUCAGCUGAGGGUGUGUGUGUGUAGCUGUGUGGGAGGGGAGGCGAUUCUGCCAUCUGGUCCAGGGCAGCAGCAGAAAUAUCUAAAUUAAAUGGUUUCUCACUUCCAGAAGACCACCCAUAUUUAUUUAUAAAUAAAACAAUAUUUAAAUAAAAAAGAAAAACUUAAGUAGGUGAGAACUACUGUAGAAGGACAAAACAGGAGAACAAAAAUCAGUUACUAGAAAAGUGAACAUAUGAGUAGUUCUCUCUUUCUGUGUUCGCUGUACCUCAGAGUCAAGGAAACUACAUUCACAACCCAUUUACUUUCAUAGUCGAAUAUUUCAGAGUGAUUUGAUUUAACCCAUAAUGCAAAAGCAGUGUAAUAUCUUAAUGAAAACAGAACAGAUUGUUUUCAUUUAAUAUUUAUAUUUUUUAUUUUAGCUUUAUGUUAAAUAUUUAAUUUAUAUUUUACUUUAAACAAGCAAAAAAAAAAAAAUAAUAAUAAUUUAGUUAACAAUAACAACACUACUACACUCCUGCAAGAGGGUGAGAGAGAAAACAAGUACCCUUAAUGCACUACAACAUGAGCAGCCAAUAAGAUCUAUUUACAGUUCUGUCAUGACAACUCUCUGAGUGUUUGGCAUGGUAAUGGAUAUGACAGUGUUGAUAUGUUUGGUCUUGGCGGAAUAGAUCUGCUGUGCUGCUGCUGCUGUUGCUGUUGGUUAUUGCUGCGUGACUUGCUACUGCCUAUACAUACAUGACACACUGCUGUGAGCAAGUAAGACAUGCUGCUAUACAAUUUAGGAUACAUUAAUUACUUGUAGCAGAUCUAUACAGGUGGAGUUAAGGAAGGUGGAGGUUUUCUGAAAGCGGGCUGCAACUGCUACAGCAAAUACUAACCAAGUAUUUGAAGGUUGAGCAGCGAGCUAACUGGCUACUGAUACAGCAGGAACCAAUCAGCUGUGCCCUAGAGAAUGAUGUGAUUGCAAGCAGAUAAGGACCUAUCAACAUGCGCCAUCUAGAGUUUCAUGACAGAACUUUGUAUUUAGGCUAUGACGCUACAAUACAUAUUUGGCUAUAGCCUUUUCCUCCUCUCUUAACCUUGUACCAUCAGGUGCAGGGUGAUGUAAGAUUAAGGGACGUCUGUAACUCUUAUUUGGAUUCUGUAUAGAGAGAGCGAAACGCACGGCCACCUCUUUAUCACUGUAAACACAGUUGCAAGGUGACAUUAAACCUUUGAUUUGAUUUACAUGAUGACAGAAAAAAAGAAUUCAGAACAAAUACAGCAUUAACAUAAUGCAUUUUUUCCCUUUUUCAGCAUUAUGUUUGAAACUGGCACUCCCAUGAUACCAUUUAUCUGGACCUUAAUCAUGUGCAUGUCGUGUUUCCACUGUUUUGAGAGUGGCAAUUAGGAGAUAAGGAUGACAUUUUCAUUUGAUAAUUAUACCUACAAGGAAUUAUUAUCUUACAGGUAAGUUAAAUUAGCCUGUUACUUUUGAUAGUCAUGAUGGAAUACCUUUAUUUUCAUGUAAAUACUAAAUAAUGCACAACAAGAGACCAUCCAGACAUAAUCAGUGAAUAAUUAUGGUCAUCACAAAUAGUUUAAAUUGGAAAAGAAGAAAGAAUCAAAAAAGGUGGACUUUAGUAAUUUUUUAAAUUUAUGUUGCACUAUAUCUGAUAUUGCAUGGCUAUGAUUUUAAGUCAUUAUUUCAAAUCAAAGUGAUAUUUAUCAUUUUACAUACAUUUUAACAUCAAAUACCACUUGUUAAACCAAUCAGAAAGGCUUAUAUACAAUAUGGCACAAACAAGCAAAACAUUUUUUGUAGUGUAAGGAUACAGCUCAACAAUGGUAACACACAUACACAACAUGAUAUUACAGUGAAAUGUAACCCUACAACCAACUAUCAAUGUCUCCCUAAAACCAUUUUAUAUACUUUUACAGUUCUAGUGAGAAGUCAUCUCAAACUGACUUUGGAGUUGAGCCAAUCUCAGGCUACGUCCACACGAAGCCAGAGCUUACCCUAUCUAAUCUUUUUUUCUCAAGAAAUAUCUGCGUACACACGAAACCACUGAAACGACUCAAAACGAUGUAGUAUACAUGCCAGAUCAGUAUGUAGCGCUAAUUCUGCAAUAGAGAUACACUAAAAACAAAGAAUAAGACUUGGAGCAUGCACAUAAACCUUGCGCGCUGUAUACAAACUUUAGUAAAGCUUUAGGCGUUGUAGCUACUGCAGCACAAACACAAGCAUUUAGUACGCUAUUAUUGUUGUUGUUGCUGUUUUGUGCUGUUAGCAGUGACUGACUAGGGUCGUCACGUGGGGUGAUGACAUCAUCGCUUCACAAAAUAUACGGAUUGGCAAAUGCGGCAUUUUCAGAUUUAUCCACUCUAGGACCCGGUUUCAAAAAAUAGCAGUUUCACCUUCCGAAAACGCUGGAUCCGUGUGGACGAAACGCCUAUCCGAUACAAAAUUUGUGCGUAUACACAGAAACGUGUCUCCGUGUGGACGGGGCCUCAAAGAUUGCUGGGUAACCAGCAGUGCCACCGAUUUUUUAAAAGUACUAUUAAUGCUUAAAUGCUCUCUAAUCAGAAAAAAAUCAGAAAGGCCCUGUCCCAAAUGGCACCCUAAACACUUGCGGUCUUCCUACGAGUCCACACUUUCGUGGCGUGAAGCAGCUUUGACUGUCGGGAAGAAGUCUGCUACGGCAGCUGCUUCAGUGUGGGCUCGACAAAAGUGUGCAUCGAGGGUAACAUCGACCACAAAGUGGGUGCUCGCGAGCACCCAUCUGAAACCUAAAAUGAUAAAUAGGACACCCUACGGUCUCAACGAACAGCACACGGCAGCCGUUGUUAAACUUUUUGCAGCAUUAUUGCUAUCAUACCGGGUACUGACAACAUGUAAACUCUUGCAGGAUGAAUGCAUCUCUCAGCUCUUAAAUUAGAAUUAGCCGAUAGGUGUGUAGGGAAAUGCUCAUAUAGACUGGAAACAGAUCGCAGUCAAGCGGAGACAGGAUUGGCCAAGAGUCCUGUUUGUGGAGGAGUGUGUUUGCUAAGAGCGGACCUCAUGGAGAGCUGACCCUCUCACCCUGAGCCCACCAGCACAGAGCACAACCACCCACUCGUUCAUAUCGUUCUCUCACAAUCACAUACACACACACACCCACAGAUUUUACUUUAUUACACCAUCAUGUCACUACUUCUCUUCAGUCCAAAGAGUCCACCUUUACUACUCUAAACAAUCUGUUUCUCACCCACUGCCAUACAUGAGCUGCCCUCAGGGCAUUAGGAACCAAUUAUAUUAUGAUUCAUUUGCAUAUAUAAGACAUGUAUAGGCAAAAACUAUGGAUUUUUGGGGCAACGUAAUGAAAAAAGUGUAAUAAUAGGAGUAAUAAUUGGCAGCAUUUUCAUAAGAAUAUUGAUAUAUAAUUUCUUUCCCUAUUCACUUGCUGUGUCUCACAAAAUGCCUGAUUUACAUUUUGUAAGUCCUGGUGUCUUUUACAGUGGACGUAUAAAAUCAAUGUCCUGUUUCGUAACAGAAAUCAUUUUCUGAUUUGAAACUCCAUAAUUUCCUGAGCUGUUGAUUUAUGACAAUUUGAAAAUUAGUCAGAUUUCAAUGGUAAUUACAAAAUAUUAUAUUUCCAUUCCAUAAGAGUGCUAAAUUUGAUCAUUCAAUCAAUGUUAGUCAUUUUUAAAGACCAAAGAGAGGGAGUUGUCAUGGUGAAACCUCCAAAUAUUUGGUAUCUCUGAAAAUCCCUGAAUGUGACUUCCAGACUUCGUUCAGAGUCAGAGAAAUUUGUUAAAAUAUAAUGCGCACCUAAAAUCUCCUAUUUCCACCAAAACUGUUCGUCGGGAGCUCCACAGAUUCAAUAUUCAUGGUCGGGCUGCUAUAGCCAAACCUUUGGUCACUCGUGCCAACGCCAAAUGUUGGUUUCAGUGGUGCCAAGAGUGCAAAUCUUGGGUUGUGGACAAUGUGAAACAUGUAUUUAUCAAUGAUGGUUUGGGAUGCAAUAUCAUGACAUUCCCUACUGUGCUUGAUGAGCGUGUCACUGCCAAGGAUUACCAAACUAUUCUGGAGGACCACAUGCACCUAAUGGUUCAAACAUUGUACCGUGAAGAGGGUGCCGUGUAUCAGCAUGAUAAUGCUCUAAUACACACAGCAACACUUGUGACAGAAUGGUUUGAUGAACAUGAAGUGAAGGUGAACAUCUUCCAUGGCCUGCACAGUCAACAGAGCUAAAUAAUUUUGAGCCACUUUGGGAUAUUUUAGAGGAGCAAGUCAGAAAACGUUUUCCUCCACCAGCAUCACAUAGUGACCUGGCAACUGUUCUGGAAGAGGAAUGGCUCAAAAUCCCUAUGGCCACUAGGAAGGACUUGGAUCUGUCAUUCCCAAGAUGAAUUGAUGCCACAAAAGGAGGCCAUAUAAUGAAUUAUUGUGGUCUUAAACCAGGUGUUUCAGUGUCAUUGUCCAACCCAUGUAUAUAUAUAUAUACCUACUAUAUAAUAUAUAUAACCUACUACAGUAGGUCUCACCUGACUUUUAAAGAUGACCUAUUAUGCCCUUUUACAAAGUCUUGAUUUUGUUUUUGGGGUCUACUAGAAAAGGUUUUCAGGCUUGAAUGUUAAAAAAAACACCUUAUUUUUCACAUAUUUACUUCGUUACAGCACCUCUCUUCAUAGUUUGGAAUGCUCUGUUUAGUUCCUGUCUCUAUGAAGCCCCUCCUUAUGAAAAUGCACUGAUUGGUCAGCUGAAUCAGUGUGUUGUGAUUGGUCAACCACUUUGAGCGUGUUUCAGAAAUCUGGGGUGGAAAAAAACAAUCUUGUGGACAUGGUGACAACACAACCAGGCCUCGCCCCCUUUAUUUUGUGUAUGCCUUGGGCAGGAAUUAUUUAAAUAAGGGAUGUUGUGACAAUCAAGGUGUUUAAGGGAGUUCAGAAACAGUGCUUACUGAUAUAAAGAAUAACUCCCUUUGGAGUGGACCUUUUUCAUUACCAAACAGCAACAUUACACAAUGAAGAAAGUUGAAAAUGUAAAAAGGCAUAAUAUAUCCUCUUUAAAUGUCAAUUCAACGCUUUUAAUUAUCUUUUUUUUUUUUUUUUUUGGUAUUUCUCAAUAAAUAUUAAUAUAUGCAAUUCAUUGAUAGGCAUGCAAUGUAAUCAGUUAUAUUAAAAAAAAUGUAAAGAAUGGAUGGCCUUAUAGAAGAGAUUUUCACUCCUUUCCACUCAGGUCAUCACCCUCAAUACUUCAAAAUUCCCAUCGACCCAGGAGAUUUGAAGGUGUGUGGGGUUGUCUAACCAGGUGUAGGAGUAUUAGAAUGAGGGCUCGUUGUUCUGAGACUCUGUUCUGAGCUUCACAUUGGGAAAGGAGGCAGACAGUCUAUAAUGAACACACUUUUGUCAGGAGAAGGAGGAGGAUGAAGCUCUCUUCUGGCUUAAUAAAAGAGAGCAAGGAUGUCGUUAGGAUAACAAUAAUGAUGUUGUCCCCUUCUGCCAAUGACAUUUGUGGCAUUUAAAGAAAGAGAUGUGGAAGAGAGUGAAAGGAGGGGAAAAAAGGAAAACAACGGAAAUGUCGCUUCUCUCGGAGCAAGUCUGCCUAUCACUUUAUAGAAUUGGUGGAUCAUUAUAAAAAUUUAACUGGCUUUUUUCCUACACAGGGCAAUUAAAAAGCUCUCUCUGUCAUAUAUUUAUAUGAUAAUUCAUUUAUUUUUGUCCAG